Unclassified non-coding RNA from Gorilla gorilla gorilla (western lowland gorilla), 107 nucleotides. It matches the Rfam family "Y RNA". Rfam says of the family: Y RNAs are components of the Ro ribonucleoprotein particle (Ro RNP), in association with Ro60 and La proteins. The Y RNAs and Ro60 and La proteins are well conserved, but the function of the Ro RNP is not known. In humans the RNA component can be one of four small RNAs -- hY1, hY3, hY4 and hY5. NCBI's taxonomy places the organism in Eukaryota, Metazoa, Chordata, Mammalia, Primates, Hominidae. The record is from Ensembl.
GGCUGUUCCAAAACAGUAAGUUAUCUCUAUUGAUUGUUCAGUUACAGAUCAAACUCCUUGUUCUACUCUUUUCCCUCCUUCUCACUACUGCACUUGACUAGUCAAAA